GAUGAAGGCAAAAGGUAGACGCAAGGGACUUAAAAUCCCUCGUUGGUUAUCCAACGUGCCGGUUCGAGUCCGGCCCUCGGCA
RNAcentral lists this transfer RNA (82 nucleotides) under Candidatus Aminicenantota bacterium. RNAcentral describes it as "Candidatus Aminicenantes bacterium tRNA-Leu". It matches the Rfam family "tRNA". Rfam says of the family: Transfer RNA (tRNA) molecules are approximately 80 nucleotides in length. Their secondary structure includes four short double-helical elements and three loops (D, anti-codon, and T loops). Further hydrogen bonds mediate the characteristic L-shaped molecular structure. tRNAs have two regions of fundamental functional importance: the anti-codon, which is responsible for specific mRNA codon recognition, and the 3' end, to which the tRNAs corresponding amino acid is attached (by aminoacyl-tRNA synthetases). tRNAs cope with the degeneracy of the genetic code in two manners: having more than one tRNA (with a specific anti-codon) for a particular amino acid; and 'wobble' base-pairing, i.e. permitting non-standard base-pairing at the 3rd anti-codon position. The record is from RNAcentral. Lineage: Bacteria; Candidatus Aminicenantota.